AUUGAACGCUGGCGGCAGGCUUAACACAUGCAAGUCGAGCGGGGUGAUGGUGCUUGCACUAUCACUUAGCGGCGGACGGGUGAGUAAUGCUUAGGAAUCUGCCUAUUAGUGGGGGACAACAUCUCGAAAGGGAUGCUAAUACCGCAUACGUCCUACGGGAGAAAGCAGGGGAUCACUUGUGACCUUGCGCUAAUAGAUGAGCCUAAGUCGGAUUAGCUAGUUGGUGGGGUAAAGGCCUACCAAGGCGACGAUCUGUAGCGGGUCUGAGAGGAUGCUCCGCAACACUGGGAAUGAGACACGGCCCAGACUCCUACGGGAGGAAGCAGUGGGGAAUAUUGGACAAUGGGGAGAACCCUGAUCCAGCCAUGCCGCGUGUGUGAAGAAGGCCUUAUGGUUGUAAGGCACUUUAAGCGAGGAGGAGGCUCUUUUGGUUAAUACCCAAGAUGAGUGGACGUUACUCGCAGAAUAAGCACCGGCUAACUCUGUGCCAGCCGCCGCGGUAA
Molecule: ribosomal RNA, 503 nt
Filed under: uncultured bacterium
Lineage: Bacteria
Description: partial 16S ribosomal RNA
Rfam family: Bacterial small subunit ribosomal RNA
Source: RNAcentral